Molecule: ribosomal RNA, 1680 nt
Filed under: Neoceratodus forsteri (Australian lungfish)
Lineage: Eukaryota; Metazoa; Chordata; Ceratodontiformes; Ceratodontidae
Description: 16S ribosomal RNA
Rfam family: Bacterial large subunit ribosomal RNA (bases 103-1570)
Source: RNAcentral
GCUAAACUGCUAGCCUAACAAGUUGACCAAAUAACAACUAUAAAUAACUAACUAAGACCAAACAACACAAAAUAAACCAUUCACUAAUCAGAGUAUGGGCGACAGAAAACGAACCUAUAGCGCCAUAGAAAAAGUACCGCAAGGGAAAGCUGAAAAAGAAAUGAAAAACCAAUUUAAGCCCAACAAAGUAGAGAUAUAAACUCGUACCUUUUGCAUCAUGGUCUAGCAAGUCAACCUGGGCAAAGAGUGCUUAAGUCCAACCCCCCGAAACUAGGCGAGCUACUUCGAGACAGCUUAAAUAUAGAGCCAACCGGUCCCUGUGGCAAAAGGUGUGGGAAGAUCUCCAAGUAGGGGUGACAGACCUAACGAGCCUAGUUAUAGCUGGUUGCUCGGGAAAUGAAUAUUAGUUCAACUUUAAAACCCUCCACUUACUAAACAAGUAACAACUAACCAUCAAACUAAGUAGUAAGUUUUAAAAUAUAUUUAAAAGAGGGACAGCUCUUUUAAACGAGGACACAACCUUAAAAAUUGGGUAAAGAUCAUACUAAAAGAAGAAUCGCGCUAAAGUGGGCCUAAAAGCAGCCACCGUAAAAGAAAGCGUUACAGCUCAAGUACAUAACUUCUACAAAUAAUGAUACUCAAUCUCAACCCGCAAAAACUACUGAGCUAACUUAUAAAAAUAUAAGUGCAAUAAUGCUAGAAUUAGUAACAAGAAGAAGCCCUUCUCCGAGCAUAGGUGUAAAUCAAAACGGACUACCCAUUGAUAAUUAACGACCCCACGAAGGAAGUAUAACGACUCAUAAAACACAAGAAAACCAAAUCAAAACAAUCGUUAACACCACACAGUAAUGCAACCAAGGAAAGGUUAAACAAUGAGGAAGGAACUCGGCAAACACAAACCCCGCCUGUUUACCAAAAACAUCGCCUCUUGCAAAUAUCAGACGUAUUAGAGGUCCCGCCUGCCCUGUGACAAUAGUUCAACGGCCGCGGUAUUUUGACCGUGCGAAGGUAGCGUAAUCACUUGUCUUUUAAAUAAAGACCUGUAUGAAUGGCAACACGAGGGUUCAACUGUCUCCCCCAUUUUACCAGUGAAAUUGAUCUGCCCGUGCAGAAGCGGGCAUAAAACCAUAAGACGAGAAGACCCUAUGGAGCUUAAAAUUACUAAUGCUAACUGCGUAAGAAAGCUAUACUGCUUUUAAAGCUAAAAACAUAGCAAACAUAGCAUUAACUUUUUGGUUGGGGCGACCGCGGAGAAAAAAAAAUCCUCCGCAACUAAACAGGGUAUUACCCUGAAAUAAGGGCGACAGCCCAAAAUAACAGAACAUCUGACAUAAAGAUCCAGAUAUUUCUGAUCAACGAACCAAGUUACCCUAGGGAUAACAGCGCAAUCCUUUCUAAGAGUCCAUAUCGACGAAAGGGCUUACGACCUCGAUGUUGGAUCAGGACAUCCUAGUGGUGCAGCCGCUACUAAGGGUUUGUUUGUUCAACAAUUAAUAGUCCUACGUGAUCUGAGUUCAGACCGGAGCAAUCCAGGUCAGUUUCUAUCUAUGUUCAAACCUAUUUUUCUAGUACGAAAGGACCGAAAAGUAUAGGCCAAUGCCAAACUAUGCCUCACCCACACCCAAUGAAAUUAACUAAAAUAACAUAAUGGGGGAACUAUCUGACCCAAGACAAGGUUAA